Molecule: transfer RNA, 95 nt
Filed under: Nocardiopsis dassonvillei
Lineage: Bacteria; Bacillati; Actinomycetota; Actinomycetes; Streptosporangiales; Nocardiopsidaceae
Description: tRNA-Gly(ccc)
Source: RNAcentral
CGGGCUGUGGACGGCUUGGACCGUACCCGCUCCCGGCGUGUACAACCGUGCCUUCGGUCCGUUUAGUCCCCGGUUCGGCGCCCGGGCGGCCUGGC